RNAcentral lists this transfer RNA (65 nucleotides) under Urochelellus acutihumeralis. RNAcentral describes it as "tRNA-Phe". Lineage: Eukaryota; Metazoa; Arthropoda; Insecta; Hemiptera; Urostylididae. The record is from RNAcentral.
AUUAGAAUAGCUUAAAUUUAAAGCAUAACUUUGAAGAAGUUAAUAUAGAUAUAAUCUUUUUAAUA